GGUAGCGUGUCUUGGCUCCUCUGAGACUUUCUUUGGAGCUCUUAUGCCCCGGGAAGCCUCUGGCAACCUUGCUCUGGGGCAGGGAGGAUGGGUGAUGAGACAGACCCUGGCGAUCCCUGGCCACGGGCUUCUCGGGUCCCUAUCCUGUCCAGAGAAAAGCCUGGAGACUACUAGGGGAGGCAGGGUAUUAAACAGAGGAGAGGAAGGAGACCAGGUUACAGAGGCUUCGGUUCUCUUUUUUUCUUUUUCUUUUCUAAACUGCCAACACAAUAUCCGUGCCGAGGGAAAUUCCCCCGACAAGCCCCAACGGUCUAGCCUCCAGGUAAAAUGGGGAGGAUACUGCGUUCCAGGGCCAGGGGCGCGCGGGGAUCCUUGCUGCAAUUUGGUCCUGGGACAACCCCAGGACCUGUACGAGAUUUUCCAAACGGACAAUAGAUUCUGCUCGCUCAGAGGAGAUCGAAGCAGAGACUGCCAACUAGGCUCCAAGGGCGCGCAGAGAGCCCAGGCGCGUACUCAGAGGAAGCGGUAUCUCCGCGCUGGGCUGGCGCCAGCCCUGGAAACGAGUGGGUUCGGGUCCCAGGACCAGGAGAGAAGGGGGACUGAUUCAUUGGUGUUCCCUCUGUAGGCUCCCUAUUCGCUAAGCUAAGCUCCAUGCCCAGAGAAGAGGGACUGAAAUUCACACCUCCUCCUACCUCCAACUCCUUCAGGCGCCCAAAGCUGCUGGAGGCUCUGGGCUAUGUUAAGACCUUUUUUCUGCCGUCCUUUCAUUCCCCAAUCUGGGUAUGAGGGCGCGGGAGAAAGGACUUCUUCACUCUGGAUCGGAACUGGUAGAAAACUACAGUCUUCCGCCUUAACGCGAGACAAACCGCGGGCCCGCCCCCGGGGGAAGGUCUCCGCCGCUGAGGCUGCUUGAGAGCUCCGGUGCGCACCCCGGCAUGUUCGGGUCCAGCAGCCCGCCAGGUGCGCUGCCGACGCCGCAGGCGGGAGCAAGAUUAAGAAAGUCAUGUAUCCCCUGGGAGGGAGAGGCUGCACGUCGCUGUCCUGACACCGCGCCCCAGGGCUCAAGCGGGAGUCAGAGGGAAUGAGAAGAGUGGGAAGUCCGAGGCUAAGUUUGGGUGAGAGCUUCCCAGAAUCUUUCUCCAUCUCAAGAAGUGGAACUUGGACUCCGCUCCAAGGCCUUCCUCCUUGGUUGGGUCUUGGAGAGCACUGAACAGAUCUCAAACCUGGGAUCUUAAAGAAUCCCAAAUCUGGGUGCACCUCAGCAGAAUACGCUUUCAGGGACCAGACUGUCAGGAAAACCGCAGCUCUCUAGCGGGCCAGGAAACACCACAUGGUUCAGGGCAUCUGACAAAGUGCUGCCCAAAACCUAAAGCUGGUUCUGAGACCAGUAACAUCAC
Chlorocebus sabaeus (green monkey) is the source of this 1397-nucleotide long non-coding RNA. RefSeq lists it as uncharacterized. The record is from RefSeq and is a predicted model, not a curated record. NCBI's taxonomy places the organism in Eukaryota, Metazoa, Chordata, Mammalia, Primates, Cercopithecidae.